This 253-nucleotide ribosomal RNA is filed under the name uncultured bacterium. RNAcentral describes it as "partial 16S ribosomal RNA". It matches the Rfam family "Bacterial small subunit ribosomal RNA", at positions 524 to 776 of the family's 1533-position model. The record is from RNAcentral.
UACGUAGGGUGCAAGCGUUGUCCGGAAUUAUUGGGCGUAAAGAGCUCGUAGGCGGUCUGUUGCGUCGGCUGUGAAAACCCGGGGCUCAACUCCGGGCCUGCAGCCGAUACGGGCAGACUAGAGUUCGGCAGGGGAGACUGGAAUUCCUGGUGUAGCGGUGAAAUGCGCAGAUAUCAGGAGGAACACCGGUGGCGAAGGCGGCAUCCUGGACCGAUACUGACGCUGAGGAGCGAAAGCCAGGGGAGCAAACGGG